UUGAGAGAACGGAAGCUUUAUCGAGAGAGAGAGAGAAAGAGCGUCUAACUAACCGCACACACAGCGAAAGCAAAGUCUAACUAUGCGCAUACUAGUAGGCGCUUGCGUAGUAGUGGUGUAAAAGUCCCUUUUCUAACCCUUAUUUGCUCGCGUGUUAGUGUGCGUGUGUGGGUAGAUCUGAAGUCGAGCGGAACUGCUGAGAAAAUAGAAGAAUUAUAGUUAGUUUCUCUUUGAUAGCCGUGACGUUCGGACGCUUCAGUGGUGAAAUUUCGUUAGGACAAAUAGUAAAUUCUUUUGUUCUUUGCUUUUCCCUUUCACGUUUUUCGGUGUGUGUUCGGUGUGUGAAGCUGUCAGUGGGGAGGUGCUGUGAAGUGAAGAAAAAAAAAACGUUUCUUUGCUAAAAAGAUAAAACGUUGAAGGUGACGCUACCAACACAACCAUCUUAAGGGUCGCAUGAUGUACGACAGUGCGGUGAUAAAGGUAAAAAUGGAAGAAGAGGAAGAGGAAGAAAUGAUGCUGCCGUUGGACGAUGACGGUGCGGUUCCGUGUAGCGGAAAUGAGACAGCGUGUGAAGCGGCGCAGGAUAACACGAUUGCACCGGAGAUGGAAAACGGGAACAAUGCUGAGGAGCAUCUUGAUGUGGCGCAGCCAACAAUUCAACCUGCUUCCAACAAGAAACGUGCUAAAAAAGGCGUUGGUCUUAGGAAACGUAAAAAAAUUCUUAAGCGAAAAUUAAAAACGGGAAAAUCAAAAGUAAAAAGAGACACGGAAGUUCCACCGGUCGAAUAUGGAUCAUUAAAUUAUCCGGAUGACAACUCGGACGAUGAUCAGCAAAGUAAAAUCUAUUUCAAGGACGUUCCACAGCUUUACUCCAAACUGUUGAAAUGGAAUCCCGACACACCGGCACCGAGGUCGUUGAAGGCAUGGCGUAAUUGUGAGUAUGACGGCAAAUUGGAACUUGAUAUAAAAAAAACUCACUCACAUCCCGCCUCUUUUCAGCGCUGAAUGUUGAAUUUGCAGCGGACCGAUUUUUGUCGCCGGUGUACAGAUUUUUCCGUAUCUUUCUCAACCGCCAGCUCGGUGGUCGGAAAUAUAAAAUGGUCCGAAUUCAGCGGUACUGUAGCCGUUCGAAAAGGGUAACGCAACGCCAGGAGGCAAUCGGCGAGUGUGCAGCACCAGCUGUACUACAGCAGGUCUAGGAAGUGCAGUAAAUUGAAGAAAACAAAAGAAAGCUGAGCUGAUUUCAUCGCUACGAACCUACCUACAACGACCAUUUUGUUUGCCUUGACCACCACCAGAAGUACCUCCAUAGAGACGUGAAAGCAACCACAAGUCCAGCACCAAAUAACUUACACACAAACAAAACCAAAUGAACCAUUCAUCAGUGAAGAAAAGCCACACAAUUAUAAUGGAAUUAAUUUUGAACUCAUAAAUGAAUCAAGAUAAGAGCUACAAAAAUGGUAACAUUUUUGAUGAUUAAUGAACUAUAGAUCUUUUCCAAUUGUUCCUUUGCCAAAACGUUUAAUAAAUAUGCUGAAGAUCAUAAAGAACGUUUUAAAAAUGAAUUUAAAUCAUUUUGUUUACUAUUAACUUAUAAUUUAGUAUGAAGCAUUUCUAUGAUCUUAAAGAACGUUUUAAAAAUGAAUUUAAAUCGUUUAGUUUAUUAUAAACUUAUAAUUUAGCAUGAAGCAUUUCUAUGAUCUUAAAGAACGUUUUAAAAAUGAAUUUAAAUCGUUUUGUUUACUAUAGACUUAUGAAGCAUUUCUAUCCCGGAUAGUAGAAAUAAUAGUUUAACAAAAAUAGAUUUCUUUUUUAAAUAAGUUAGAUUUAAUUAGAAUUAAAAAAAAAUCGAAAAAUUGUACGUAAAAAUUAUCUGUCGAUAAUAUUUACAAUAAUGGACGAAUAACCACCGAAUCGUUAAAUAAUGGAGUAUAAGUUCCUUAAUGAUAUAUAAUAAGAUAAAAUAUAAGAUAAGAAAUAGCCGGCACGAGCUUUUAGAGUUCGUUAAGCCAAGGACAAGAAAAAGAAGGGAAGCUUAGAAUAGAAAGAACUGAUUUUGAGGAAUGAAACGUCCUGAAUUAAUUAAUUCCAUUAGAAGUACCUAGAAUAAAUAUGCUUGAUAGUGGAUACAACCAAGCAUAAGAAUAUUACGAACGAUACUGCUUACAUCGCUGACACUUUGAAACAUUAGUAACAAAAUAGAUACAAAUUCAGAACAAAAAAAACGAAA
Molecule: RNA transcript, 2230 nt
Organism: Anopheles funestus (African malaria mosquito)
Lineage: Eukaryota; Metazoa; Arthropoda; Insecta; Diptera; Culicidae
Exons: 6
Source: RefSeq, a predicted model, not a curated record